AGAGUUUGGAUCCUGGCUCAGGAUGAACGCUGGCGGCGUGCCUAACACAUGCAAGUCGAGCGAUCUUCUUCGGAAGAGAGCGGCGGACGGGUGAGUAACGCGUGGGUAACCUGCCUCAUACACAUGGAUAACAUACCGAAAGGUAUGCUAAUACAAGAUGAUAUAAGAGAUUCGCAUGGAUUUCUUAUCAAAGCUCCGGCGGUAUGAGAUGGACCCGCGUCUGAUUAGCUAGUUGGUAAGGUAACGGCUUACCAAGGCGACGAUCAGUAGCCGACCUGAGAGGGUGAUCGGCCACAUUGGAACUGAGACACGGUCCAAACUCCUACGGGAGGCAGCAGUGGGGAAUAUUGCACAAUGGGCGAAAGCCUGAUGCAGCAACGCCGCGUGAGCGAUGAAGGCCUUCGGGUCGUAAAGCUCUGUCCUCAAGGAAGAUAAUGACGGUACUUGAGGAGGAAGCCCCGGCUAACUACGUGCCAGCAGCCGCGGUAAUACGUAGGGGGCUAGCGUUAUCCGGAUUUACUGGGCGUAAAGGGUGCGUAGGUGGUUUCUUAAGUCAGGAGUGAAAGGCUACGGCUCAACCGUAGUAAGCUCUUGAAACUGGGAAACUUGAGUGCAGGAGAGGAAAGUGGAAUUCCUAGUGUAGCGGUGAAAUGCGUAGAUAUUAGGAGGAACACCAGUAGCGAAGGCGGCUUUCUGGACUGUAACUGACACUGAGGCACGAAAGCGUGGGGAGCAAACAGGAUUAGAUACCCUGGUAGUCCACGCCGUAAACGAUGAGUACUAGGUGUCGGGGGUUACCCCCCUCGGUGCCGCAGCU
Molecule: ribosomal RNA, 817 nt
Filed under: uncultured bacterium
Lineage: Bacteria
Description: bacterial SSU rRNA
Rfam family: Bacterial small subunit ribosomal RNA
Source: RNAcentral